This 221-nucleotide ribosomal RNA is filed under the name uncultured bacterium. RNAcentral's name for it is "partial 16S ribosomal RNA". It matches the Rfam family "Bacterial small subunit ribosomal RNA", at positions 111 to 334 of the family's 1533-position model. The record is from RNAcentral.
UAACACGUAGAAAUCUGCCCCUGUCCGGAGGAUAGCUCACCGAAAGGUGAGGUAAUACUCCAUAGUCUAUCUUGUCGCAAGACAUAGAUAGUAAAGAUUUAUCGGAGAGGGAUGAGUCUGCGUCCUAUCAGGUAGUUGGUGGGGUAACGGCCUACCAAGCCAAUGACGGGUAGCUAAUCUGGGAGGAUGGUUAGCCAGAGGGGGACUGAGACACGGCCCCC